GGAGGAGCUGUGACUCUACAGUAGAGCAUCUGUUUGGCAUACAGAAGGUCCUGGGUUCAGUCCCCAGUUUCUCCA
Molecule: transfer RNA, 75 nt
Filed under: Sphaerodactylus townsendi
Lineage: Eukaryota; Metazoa; Chordata; Lepidosauria; Squamata; Sphaerodactylidae
Description: tRNA-Ala
Rfam family: tRNA
About the family: Transfer RNA (tRNA) molecules are approximately 80 nucleotides in length. Their secondary structure includes four short double-helical elements and three loops (D, anti-codon, and T loops). Further hydrogen bonds mediate the characteristic L-shaped molecular structure. tRNAs have two regions of fundamental functional importance: the anti-codon, which is responsible for specific mRNA codon recognition, and the 3' end, to which the tRNAs corresponding amino acid is attached (by aminoacyl-tRNA synthetases). tRNAs cope with the degeneracy of the genetic code in two manners: having more than one tRNA (with a specific anti-codon) for a particular amino acid; and 'wobble' base-pairing, i.e. permitting non-standard base-pairing at the 3rd anti-codon position.
Source: RNAcentral